AAUGAACGUUGGCGGCAUGGAUUAGGCAUGCAAGUCGAGCGAGAACCCCGCAAGGGGGGACAGCGGCGAAAGGGACAGUAAUGUGUAGAUUAUCUGCCCUCAGGUCCGGGAUAGCUGCGGGAAACUGCAGGUAAUACCGGAUAACAUCUCCGGAUCAAAGGUGUGAUUCCGCCUGAGGAUGAGUCUGCAUCCUAUUAGCUAGUUGGUGGGGUAAUGGCCUACCAAGGCAUUGAUGGGUAGCAGGUGUGAGAGCACGACCUGCGUCAUUGGGACUGAGACACUGCCCAGACACCUACGGGUGGCUGCAGUCGAGAAUCUUCGGCAAUGGGCGCAAGCCUGACCGAGCGACGCCGCGUGUGGGAUGAAGGCCUUCGGGUUGUAAACCACUGUCAGAGGGGAUGAAAUGCAGGUGGGUUCUCCCAUCUGUUUGACAUAGCCUCAGAGGAAGGACGGGCUAAGUUCGUG
RNAcentral lists this ribosomal RNA (465 nucleotides) under uncultured bacterium. RNAcentral's name for it is "partial 16S ribosomal RNA". It matches the Rfam family "Bacterial small subunit ribosomal RNA", at positions 29 to 507 of the family's 1533-position model. The record is from RNAcentral.